This 345-nucleotide long non-coding RNA is filed under the name Struthio camelus australis. RNAcentral describes it as "lncRNA (ENSSCUG00000018580.1)". The record is from RNAcentral. Lineage: Eukaryota; Metazoa; Chordata; Aves; Struthioniformes; Struthionidae.
GUACAGCAACAGCUGAAUUGUUGAACAAAAGGAUUGAACGCAUGUUGACGCAUGCAGGGAUUCAUCUGGAUCGUGUCACUCUUGUGGUAGAUGUAUGUGACCUAUGCAAAAGGGAAUAUGGACUGCCUGCUUCUGUCUCUCCAGCUGCCAAAGAGCUAGAGGAAGAGUUCUGCAGCAACCCUCAGCCUCCAGAUUAGAAGGAUUAUCGGCAGAACAGGCAGGGAUCCGUGCAGUUAGACUGUCCUCAACUAUAUGGUUACUCUCAUCUUUCCAGAGAAUAACAGGCAGCAGAGCGUGAGCUGAAGCUGAGGUAAGAAAUAUCCAAAAUGAGGAGCAUAAUGGUCA